GUUUGGAAGGGUUUGUAUUUAUUAGAUAAAAGAACCAAUAUUUUUUGGUGACUCAUAAUAACUUUACGGAUCACAUUAUGUGACAUAUCAUUCAAGUUUCUGACCUAUCAGCUUUAGACGGUAGGGUAUUGGCCUACCGUGGCUAUGACGGGUAACGGGGAAUUAGGGUUCGAUUCCGGAGAGGGAGCCUGAGAAACGGCUACCACAUCUAAGGAAGGCAGCAGGCGCGCAAAUUACCCAAUCCUAAUACAGGGAGGUAGUGACAAGAAAUAACAAUACAGAACCUUACGGUUUUGUAAUUGGAAUGAGUUAAGUAUAAACCCCUUAACAAGUAUCAAUUGGAGGGCAAGUCUGGUGCCAGCAGCCGCGGUAAUUCCAGCUCCAAUAGCGUAUAUUAAAGUUGUUGCAGUUAAAAAGCUCGUAGUUAAUCUUCUGUUAAUUUUUAUAUAUAAUAUCACGAUAUUUAUAUAAUAUUAACAUAAUUCAUAUUACUUUUUAGUAUAUGAAACUUUACUUUGAGAAAAUUAGAGUGCUUAAAGCAGGCUAUUGCCUUGAAUACUCCAGCAUGGAAUAAUAUUAAGGAUUUUUAUUCUUCUUAUUGGUUCUAGAAUAAAAAUGAUGAUUAAUAGGGACAGUUGGGGGCAUUUGUAUUUAACAGUCAGAGGUGAAAUUCUUAGAUUUGUUAAAAGACAAACUACUGCGAAAAGCAUUUGCCAAGGAUGUUUUCAUUAAUCAAGAACGAAAGUUAAGGGGAUCGAAGACGAUCAGAUACCGUCGUAGUCUUAACCAUUAAACUAUGCCAACUAGAGAUUGGAGGUUGUUCCUUACUCCUUUCAGCAACUUUAUGAGA
This 850-nucleotide ribosomal RNA is filed under the name Cryptosporidium bovis. RNAcentral describes it as "SSU rRNA". It matches the Rfam family "Eukaryotic small subunit ribosomal RNA", at positions 189 to 1095 of the family's 1831-position model. The record is from RNAcentral. Lineage: Eukaryota; Apicomplexa; Conoidasida; Eucoccidiorida; Cryptosporidiidae.